RNAcentral lists this ribosomal RNA (492 nucleotides) under uncultured bacterium. Its description in RNAcentral is "partial 16S ribosomal RNA". It matches the Rfam family "Bacterial small subunit ribosomal RNA", at positions 29 to 507 of the family's 1533-position model. The record is from RNAcentral.
AGUGAACGCUGGCGGUAGGCCUAACACAUGCCAGUCGAACGGCAGCACAGUAAGAGCUUGCUCUUACGGGUGGCGAGUGGCGGACAAGUGAGGAAUACAUCGGAAUCUACUUUUUCGUGGGGGAUAACGUAGGGAAACUUACGCUAAUACCGCAUACGACCUACGGGUGAAAGCAGGGGAUCUUCGGACCUUGCGCGAUUGAAUGAGCCGAUGUCGGAUUAGCUAGUUGGCGGGGUAAAGGCCCACCAAGGCGACGAUCCGUAGCUGGUCUGAGAGGAUGAUCAGCCACACUGGAACUGAGACACGGUCCAGACUCCUACGGGAGGCAGCAGUGGGGAAUAUUGGACAAUGGGCGAAAGCCUGAUCCAGCCAUACCGCGUGGGUGAAGAAGGCCUUCGGGUUGUAAAGCCCUUUUGUUGGGAAAGAAAAGCAGCAGGUUAAUACCCCGCUGUUCUGACGGUACCCAAAGAAUAAGCACCGGCUAACUUCGUG